AGUAACGCGUGAGUAACCUGCCUUUCAGAGGGGGAUAACGUUCUGAAAAGAACGCUAAUACCGCAUGAGACUACAGAGCUGCAUGGCUCAGUGGCCAAAGGAGCAAUCCGCUGAAAGAUGGACUCGCGUCCGAUUAGAUAGUAGGCGGGGUAACGGCCCACCUAGUCGACGAUCGGUAGCCGGACUGAGAGGUUGAACGGCCACAUUGGGACUGAGACACGGCCCAGACUCCUACGGGAGGCAGCAUG
RNAcentral lists this ribosomal RNA (248 nucleotides) under uncultured bacterium. RNAcentral's name for it is "partial 16S ribosomal RNA". It matches the Rfam family "Bacterial small subunit ribosomal RNA", at positions 109 to 353 of the family's 1533-position model. The record is from RNAcentral.